UUAUAAAUAUUAAUAAGGGUUGUAAUUGCAUGGUGAAGUGAGUAGAAUAAGUAGAUGUAGUUGAGAUGAGUUGAUAGCUGUAUAGGAGUUGUUAUAGUAGUUGAAGUAGUUGUUAUAAUUGAUGGGAACAGUUAGUUAGUGGAAGAGAUGAUGUAUAAAUAAUUGAAGAGAUGUAACAGAGGACUAUCUAAGAAAUAUCAAUAUUGCAAUCAAUUUUUCUCUCUAAUUCUCGCUAUCUUCCUUCUUCUCCUAUUUCCCUUCCUCUUUCUUUCUCUUAUCUCUCUCUAAUUUCUGCUCUU
This 299-nucleotide unclassified non-coding RNA is filed under the name Hevea brasiliensis (rubber tree). The record is from RNAcentral. Lineage: Eukaryota; Viridiplantae; Streptophyta; Magnoliopsida; Malpighiales; Euphorbiaceae.